AGACCAUGAUGAGGACAACGCCAAAGCAAAUCCUUGUAUCUUUCCUAGGCCUCAUACACCAAUUCAAAGUUAAGUUGCAUGAAAGAAGUAAUAUCAUUCCUCAUCUU
Molecule: small nucleolar RNA, 107 nt
Filed under: Theobroma cacao (cacao)
Lineage: Eukaryota; Viridiplantae; Streptophyta; Magnoliopsida; Malvales; Malvaceae
Description: Plant small nucleolar RNA R71
Rfam family: Plant small nucleolar RNA R71
About the family: R71 is a member of the C/D box family of snoRNAs containing the C (UGAUGA) and D (CUGA) box motifs. Multiple nearly identical copies of this snoRNA have been identified in Arabidopsis, and it is thought to function as a 2'-O-ribose methylation guide for 18S ribosomal RNA.
Source: Rfam by way of RNAcentral